AAUGAACGCUGGCGGCGUGCUUAACACAUGCAAGUCGAACGAGAAAGCCUGAUUUCGGUUGGGCGAGUAAAGUGGCGCACGGGUGAGUAACGCGUAGAUAACCUACCCCCGGGUUCGGGAUAACAGUGCGAAAGCGCUGCUAAUACCGGAUACGACCUUAUGGCGCGAGCUGUAAGUUGAAAGUCGGCCUCUCGAAGAAGCUGAUGUUCGGGGAUGGGUCUGCGUCCUAUCAGCUAGUUGGUAGGGUAAUGGCCUACCAAGGCGAUGAUGGUUAGCUGGUCUGAGAGGAUGACCAGCCACACUGGCACUGAAACACGGGCCAGACUCCUACGGGUGGCAG
This 340-nucleotide ribosomal RNA is filed under the name uncultured Pseudomonadota bacterium. RNAcentral's name for it is "bacterial SSU rRNA". It matches the Rfam family "Bacterial small subunit ribosomal RNA", at positions 29 to 351 of the family's 1533-position model. Lineage: Bacteria; Pseudomonadati; Pseudomonadota. The record is from RNAcentral.